UACGUAGGGGGCGAGCGUUGUCCGGAAUCAUUGGGCGUAAAGCGCGUGUAGGCGGCCCGGUAAGUCCGCUGUGAAAGUCCAGGGCUCAACCCUGGGAUGCCGGUGGAUACUGUCGGGCUCGAGUCCGGAAGAGGCGAGUGGAAUUCCUGGUGUAGCGGUGAAAUGCGCAGAUAUCAGGAGGAACACCAGCGGCGAAGGCGGCGCUCUGGGCCGGAACUGACGCUGAGGAGCGAAAGCGUGGGUAGCAAACAGG
Molecule: ribosomal RNA, 253 nt
Filed under: uncultured bacterium
Lineage: Bacteria
Description: partial 16S ribosomal RNA
Rfam family: Bacterial small subunit ribosomal RNA
Source: RNAcentral